Long non-coding RNA from Nematostella vectensis (starlet sea anemone), 432 nucleotides. RefSeq lists it as uncharacterized. The transcript is spliced from 2 exons. The record is from RefSeq and is a predicted model, not a curated record. Lineage: Eukaryota; Metazoa; Cnidaria; Anthozoa; Actiniaria; Edwardsiidae.
UAUGUUCACAGCAAAAAAGGCAGAUUGAAAAUAGUAUUUAAUGAGAAAAUAUGCGGAUUCAAAUGGGCUGAAAUCUUUGAGGAACCGUUUUGUCUGAAGUACGAGCCGAUAGUAAAAUCUACCCGAGUGUUCGUGAAUCCCGUCCGUUGCAGCAGCGAAAAGAGGACUACUUAGAGGCUCUACACUACCAUUCUAAUAACAUUCCUUCACGUCUAUAUAUAUGGAUGCUAGCAGAAAGUCGACAAGUUCACAGUUUACAACAAAAAGCGAACACAACCACACAAGCGACAAACAGAAAGCGACAUAAAACACUGCCAAGGUAAAACCAACCAAGGACUUCUACCCAAGGGCCAUGAUUGAUGCUGAAGGCUGGGAGGCAUGAGAAUAGGCAAAUGUCUUAAAGAUAAUAAAGUAGGGGAUUUCUUACUUUGA